Molecule: ribosomal RNA, 2250 nt
Filed under: Diddensiella santjacobensis
Lineage: Eukaryota; Fungi; Ascomycota; Dipodascomycetes; Dipodascales; Trichomonascaceae
Description: small subunit ribosomal RNA
Rfam family: Bacterial small subunit ribosomal RNA (bases 9-1144)
Source: RNAcentral
UAGUAUGUGAGUUUGAUGUUGGCUCUGUAUUAUUACUAUCUAGAUAUAUGAUACAUGCUAACAGUACUAUACCAUAUAUACAUAGUAAUAUAUAUAAUAUAUGAUAUAUAGUAGUAUAUGUGUAUAUAUAUGGUAAUAUGUUGUGAAAACGUGAGUAUAGGAUAUCUAAUAACUACUGUAUACUAUAAAAAUUAUAGUGAUAAGUAUGUAAUAUAUAGUACAUAGUAAUAUUACUAUAUAUUAUAGUAUGUAUAAAGUAUAUAUGUAUAUAUAUAUGUAUAUACGGUGGUAGUGUAGAUAUAUGUAGUAUUAGGUAGUUGGUAUACUAUGAGAGAUACCAAGCCUAUAAUAUGCUUAGGAAAUUCUGGAAGGUAUAUUUCCCACGGUAAUAUAGAGAUAAAGAUUACUACCUCUUAGGUACAGCAGUAGAGAAUAGUUGUCAAUAGGUGAGAGCCCGAACACGUAAUCUAGAAAGGCGGUACUACUAUAAUACAUAGUAACACUUACAUAUAGUAUAUACUAUACUUUUUAUAGUAUUAUAUAGCUAAUAAUAUUAUACUAUAGCAAUAUAGUAUAGUAUAUAUAGCAAUAUUAUAUACAUAAUAAUAUAGUAUAGUAUAUAUGGUAAUAUUCUAUACUAUAGCAAUAUAGUAUAUAGUAUAUAUGUUAUAGGUAUUAUAGUACAUAUAGUAUAUAGCCUAUAUUACAUAGUACAUAAUGAGUAUUAUGUAUGAAAGUCCUAACAAAAUUAUGUGCCAGCAGUUGCGGUUAUACAUAUAGGGCUAGUAUUAUACAUUUACGGUUUUAAGGGUACGCAGUAUGGUAUAGUAUAUAUUCUAGAGUACUAUAUAAUAUGGUAGUGUAAGAGUAUGAGAAAGUGUUAUAUCUGUAUAUACAUACUAGAAUACCAGUAUAUGAAAGUAGCUACCAUAUAUAGUACUGACAUUUAGGUACGAAAUUUACAGUAGCGAAAUGGGGUUGUCAGCCAUAUAGUUGUAGACGUAAACUAUGUAUGCUAAUAUUAUAACAUAUAUAUUUUUAUAUAGUAUUUUAUAAUAUAUAGUGAAAACGGUAAGCAUACCACCUUAGGAGUACUAUUACAUAUAGAAACUGAAAACAAUAGGCGGUCUAGAUUACUAACAGUGGUAUAUGUAAUUUAAUAUGAUAAUACGCGCUAACAUUACCAUACUUUGCAUAUUUACUAUGGUAUAUAUAUGUAUACUAUAUUUUACAUAGUAAUAUAGGUAUUAUAAUAUUAUAUACUAUAUAGUAAUAUUUUACAUAGUAAUAUAUUAGUACUAUAAAUAUAUGUAUAUACAUAUAGCAUAUAUUGCAUAGUAAUAUGUAGUAUAUAAUAUAGUAUACUAUAAAAUUUAUAUACUAUUUUUACAUAGUAAUAUUAUAUCUAUAUAAUAUAUAUGUAUUAUACUACAGAUAUUACAUAGUAAUAUAUUGUAUACUAUAAUAUUAUAGUAUUUUAUAGCUAUAUUUUAUAAUAGUAAAUAUGCUAUGUAUAUAUGCAAGUAAAUAUUACUACUAUAAAAUGUUAGUAAAUAUUACUACGUAUAUAUUAGUAAAUAUUACUAUAUAAUAUUUAUAUACUAUAUUAUACUAUAAAAUAUAUAUACUAUAGUAUUUACAAGUGCUACAUAGCUGUCUAGCAGUUCAUGCCGUAAGGUAUACAUUUUAGUAUGGUAAUGUACGAAAUCUACAUAAUAUUGUAAUAUGGUAUACUAUAUAUGUAUACUAUAUAAAAAUAUUAUUACUAUAGUAUAUAUACUAUAGCAUAUAUGUAGGGAAAGACAAGUCUUCAUGGCCUACAUAGUAUGGGCUAUAUACGUAUAACAAGAAUAUCAUACAAAAAUAUAGUACAUAGUAAUAUAGCCUAGUAUUAUAAAGGGUAUUAUCUAUCACUAUAUAAUAUUUAUAGUGUAUAAUACCGUAUUAUUACCUGUAACCCGGUAAUAUGCAGUAGAAAUUGUCAGUAAUGGUAUACUAGUAUUAUACCGUGAAGAAUUUUUCUAGGCGUACUAAUCACUCAUCAUUUGGCUAUAGGAUGUCACAUAUAAAAUAUAUAUACAUACUAUAUAUAUAUGGUAAAAUAUACAUAUAUAUAUAUACAUAGUAAAUAUUACUAUGGUAUACUAUUUAUAGAUACUAGUAUAGUAUAUAUAUUAGUAUGUGUAUCUCAUAGUUGAGAAGUUGAAAUAUAGUUGUGGUAGAUGAAUCUGCUGCGGGAAAUAUUAUUAG